GUUAUUGUAGCUUAAAUACAAAAGCACAGCACUGAAAAUGCUGAGAUGGAUUUUUAUUACUUCCCAAAAACA
This 72-nucleotide transfer RNA is filed under the name Isopachys gyldenstolpei. RNAcentral describes it as "tRNA-Phe". It matches the Rfam family "tRNA". Rfam says of the family: Transfer RNA (tRNA) molecules are approximately 80 nucleotides in length. Their secondary structure includes four short double-helical elements and three loops (D, anti-codon, and T loops). Lineage: Eukaryota; Metazoa; Chordata; Lepidosauria; Squamata; Scincidae. The record is from RNAcentral.